CAGUCAGCCCCUGCUGUGAGUUGAUUUGACCCAAAGAGCUGGGUUGAAACUACCCAAGACUCUGAAAAUAACCCCC
This is a non-coding RNA of Danio rerio (zebrafish), 76 nucleotides long. Lineage: Eukaryota; Metazoa; Chordata; Actinopteri; Cypriniformes; Danionidae. The record is from RefSeq and is a predicted model, not a curated record.